AGUCUUCCCAGGCCCACCACUUUCAUCGAGUGAGCAUUCGUCUUCUGGUUACGGGGCCAUAGCUCAGCUGGGAGAGCGCGUGCUUUGCAAGCAUGAGGUCGUCGGUUCGAUCCCGUCUGGCUCCACCAGAUGGUUUGAUCACCAACGGCGUAACCGUCGUCCGCGAAACAUCACUUCGCACUCAUUGGUCCGGAUGGACGGUGACGUGCGUGUUUUCUGACAUCGUAAAGAGGAGAUCGAUCCGAGUUUGGAUCAAGCGAAGCAAUUCGCCUGAACCAUUCACUAUCUCCGGGAUCAUUUCGGCGCUCGCUUCAUUCGUGAGAUUGAAUGCGGGUUGUAAAUGAUCUCUGUUAGCGAAGCUUGACCGCCUCGCUAUCGGGCCGAUCUUACGAAGCAAGCUGGUCUUUCUAGUCAAUGUCCGGCUGCGCAAUCGCAUUCAUCGAGGAUGCGCGCCUGAGACUUCGGUCUUUGGGCAGUUGUGCAGACAACAUUCUGCCGAGUGUGUGGACAUUGAUAAUGAGAGCAAUCAAGUGCCUUAAGGGUGUUCGGUGGAUGCCUUGGCGCUGAGAGGCGAUGAAGGACGUGCUACGCUGCGAUAAGCCGUGGGGAGCUGCGAAGAAGCUUUGAUCCGCGGAUUUCCGAAUGGGAAA
RNAcentral lists this unclassified non-coding RNA (650 nucleotides) under Bradyrhizobium sp. LCM 3713. RNAcentral's name for it is "partial 16S-23S ribosomal RNA intergenic spacer". The stretch from base 525 to 650 matches the Rfam family "Bacterial large subunit ribosomal RNA", at positions 1 to 125 of the family's 2925-position model. Lineage: Bacteria; Pseudomonadati; Pseudomonadota; Alphaproteobacteria; Hyphomicrobiales; Nitrobacteraceae. The record is from RNAcentral.